GCCAGACGCCAUAACACCUGCAGUUCAGGCAAGGUAAUCCAUCUGAAGUUAAGCAGGUUUGGGCCAGGCUGGUAUUUGGAAGGGAAACCAACUGGGAAAACUGGGUUGCUGCUGGAA
Molecule: ribosomal RNA, 117 nt
Filed under: Paramormyrops kingsleyae
Lineage: Eukaryota; Metazoa; Chordata; Actinopteri; Osteoglossiformes; Mormyridae
Source: RNAcentral